GGUCCGAACCCACGAGCGUUGAAAAGCUCGGGGAUGACUUGUGGGUAGCGGUGAAAUUCCAAUCGAGCCCGGAGAUAGCUGGUUCUCCCCGAAAUAGCUUUAGGGCUAGCCUCAAGGUGAGAGAUACGGAGGUAGAGCACUGAAUGUCCUAGGGGGUAUUGCACCUACCGAAGACUAUCAAACUCCGAAUGCCGUCAUCUUAUACUUGGGAGUCAGACUGUGGGUGAUAAGAUUCAUAGUCGAAAGGGCAACAGCCCAGAUCGUCAGCUAAGGUCCCUAAAUGUAAGUUAAGUGGUAAAGGAUGUGGGAUUGCACAGACAACCAGGAUGUUGGCUUAGAAGCAGCCACUCAUUCAAAGAGUGCGUAAUAGCUCACUGGUCGAGUGAUCCUGCGCCGAAGAUUUCCGGGGCUAAAACUUACUACCGAAGCUACGGCAUCAGUAAUGAUGGGUAGGGGAGCUUCCCAUACGGGUUGAAGCAUGACCGUAAGGACAUGUGGACAGUAUGGGAGUGAGAAUGUUGGCAUGAGUAGCGAGAUGUGGGUGAGAAUCCCACAGGCCGUAAACCCAAGGUUUCCAGGGGAAGGGUCGUCCGCCCUGGGUUAGUCGGGACCUAAGCUGAGGCCGAAAGGCGUAGGUGAUGGACAACAGGUUGAUAUUCCUGUACUACCGAUAACCGUUUGAGAGAAGGGAUGACACAGUAGGAUAAGCUAAGCACACUGUUGGUUAUGUGUGCCCAAGCAUUGAGGCAGUCAAAGUAGGCAAAUCCGCUUUGAUAAUGCUGGGAUGUGAUGGGGAGCGAAAUUUAGUAGCGAA
Molecule: ribosomal RNA, 814 nt
Filed under: Clostridioides difficile
Lineage: Bacteria; Bacillati; Bacillota; Clostridia; Peptostreptococcales; Peptostreptococcaceae
Description: bacterial LSU rRNA
Rfam family: Bacterial large subunit ribosomal RNA
Source: RNAcentral